This 338-nucleotide ribosomal RNA is filed under the name unidentified archaeon. RNAcentral's name for it is "bacterial SSU rRNA". It matches the Rfam family "Archaeal small subunit ribosomal RNA", at positions 90 to 428 of the family's 1478-position model. The record is from RNAcentral.
UCAGUAACACGUAGUCAACAUAACCAAAGGACGUGGAUAAACUCGGGAAACUGAGGCUAAACCGCGAUAGUUCAAGAUACCUGGAAUGGUUUUUGAUCAAAAUCAAUAUGGCCUUUGGAUUGGACUGCGUCCGAUCAGGCUGUUGGUGAGGUAAUGGCCCACCAAACCUAUAACCGGUACGGGCUCUGAGAGGAGGAGCCCGGAGAUGGGUACUGAGAUAAGGACCCAGGCCCUAUGGGGCAGCAGCAAGGCGCGAAACCUCUGCAAUAGGCGAAAGCUUGACAGGGUUACUCUGAGUGACUUACGUUAAGAAAGUCUAAAGAAACCUCUAAAAAUGG